RNAcentral lists this ribosomal RNA (253 nucleotides) under uncultured microorganism. RNAcentral describes it as "partial 16S ribosomal RNA". It matches the Rfam family "Bacterial small subunit ribosomal RNA", at positions 524 to 776 of the family's 1533-position model. The record is from RNAcentral.
UACGGAGGGUGCGAGCGUUAUUCGGAAUUACUGGGCGUAAAGCGCGUGUAGGCGGCAGGGCAAGUCUGGUGUGAAAGCCCGGGGCUCAACCCCGGAAGUGCAUUGGAAACUGCUCUGCUUGAGUACCGGAGAGGCAGGGGGAAUUCCCGGUGUAGCGGUGAAAUGCGUAGAUAUCGGGAGGAAUACCAGUGGCGAAGGCGGCCUUCUGGACGGUUACUGACGCUGAGACGCGAAAGCGUGGGGAGCAAACAGG